This 267-nucleotide long non-coding RNA is filed under the name Homo sapiens (human). RNAcentral's name for it is "non-protein coding lnc-BRF2-8:1". Lineage: Eukaryota; Metazoa; Chordata; Mammalia; Primates; Hominidae. The record is from RNAcentral.
ACAUGCGUGCACCACUUAAUUUUUUUUUUUUUAAAUUGUAGAGAUGAGGUCUCACCACGUUGCCCAGGCUUGUCUCAAACUCCUGACUUCAAGCGAUCCUUCUGCCUUGCCCUCCCAAAGCACUGGGAUUAUAGGCGGGAGCCACUGUGGCUGGCUCUGCAGAUGACUAUUUAGACAAUUCCCUGAUCGCACCCCACAUGAAAUCUUACUAACACAUCUAUCCCAUGUACCUGCUAUGUUCCAUGGUCCUUUCAAGGCUCACAAAUC